GAUUUCUGGUUUGGUGCGCCUGGCCCGCCACGGUUACGUGUGUGAGUGCUGGGUCGCGCCUGCCAUCCUUCUAGAAAACGUUACUACUCUUAAUUGAGCCGGUAUCGCAAUCUAGAUCUUUUACUUUGAAAAAAUUAGAGUGUUUAAAGCAGGCUUUUGCUAUGAAUACAUUAGCAUGGAAUAAUAAUUUAGGACUUCGGUUCUAUUUUGUUGGUUUCUAGGACUGAAGUAAUGAUUGAUAGGGAUAGUUGGGGGUGCUAGUAUUCAGCGGCCAGAGGUGAAAUUCUCGGAUUCGCUGAAGACUAACUUAUGCGAAAGCAUU
Molecule: ribosomal RNA, 322 nt
Filed under: uncultured Sandona
Lineage: Eukaryota; Cercozoa; Glissomonadida
Description: SSU rRNA
Rfam family: Eukaryotic small subunit ribosomal RNA (bases 63-322)
Source: RNAcentral